AAUAUUUCACAAUGGGCGCAAGCAUGCUGCACCAACGCCGCGUGCGCGACGAAGGCCUCCGUGUCGUAAAGCGCUUCUCUGGGAGAUGAGUACGGACAGUAUCCCCGGACGAAGGAUCGGCUAACUACGUGCCAGCACCCGCGGUAAAACGUAGGAUCCGAGCGUUAUCCGAAUUCACUGGGCGUAAAGCGCAUGCAGGCGGCGGCACAAGUUGGAUGUAAAAGCUCCAGGCUCAACUGGGAGGGGACGUUCAAAACUGUGCGGCUCGAGGGAGGUAGAGGAAGGUAGAAUUCCCGGUGUAGUGGUGAAAUGCGUAGAUAUCGGGAGGAAUACCCGUGGCGAAGGCGACCUUCUGGACCGUUUCUGACGCUCAGAUGCGAAAGCUAGGGGAGCGAACGGG
RNAcentral lists this ribosomal RNA (400 nucleotides) under uncultured bacterium. Its description in RNAcentral is "partial 16S ribosomal RNA". It matches the Rfam family "Bacterial small subunit ribosomal RNA", at positions 360 to 776 of the family's 1533-position model. The record is from RNAcentral.